Molecule: RNA transcript, 2731 nt
Organism: Saccostrea cuccullata (small rock oyster)
Lineage: Eukaryota; Metazoa; Mollusca; Bivalvia; Ostreida; Ostreidae
Gene name: syntaxin-16-like
Exons: 9
Source: RefSeq, a predicted model, not a curated record
AAUAUUACUGUUUCCGGUUGUGGUGGACACGAAAAUGGGAAACCCCAAUGUAAAUCUUAAGAUGGUCAUGAUCGGCAAAAUUUGAUACUGUUUUGGGAGAGAAUAUUGUUAUCAUUUCGAAAUGGCGACCAGAAGUUUAACAGAAGUGUUUAUUUUGAUGCGUAACAAUGCGCUUCAAAGCAGAAACAUGUUUUCAGAACAGCUUGCUGAUGACAGAAUGGCCUUGGUUUCCAGUUGUCAUGUUGAUCCAGAGUUAGGAAUAGCCAGCACCAAGUCUGCUAGACUGCCACCAGAAUGGGUAGAUGGCGUGGAGGAAGUCCAGUUUGAAAUGUCAAGAAUCAAGCAAAAAAUGAAGGAGCUUGCCACUCUUCAUGACAAACAUUUGAAUCGUCCAACACUUGAUGAUAGCAUUCAAGAAGAACAUACCAUAGAAAUCAUGACAGGAGAAAUCACACAAAUGUUCACCAGAUGUCAGAGAUUGGUUCAACAGAUCAGCAGUCGAAGUGUUCGGGGGACUGAACAGGAGAAACGACUGUCGUCCAACAUUGUAUCGUCUCUUGUCCGAUCACUGCAGGAAAUGUCCACCAACUUCAGAAAAAGCCAGUCUGUCUACUUAAAAAAAAUCAAAUCUCGGGAGGAGAGAUCUCGUGAGUUUUUUGACUCCAGUAUUGGCCCUGACUCAGCAUUAAUGCAGGAAUCCGACCUUUUCUCAGAACACUACGAUAAGGAGCUGGAUACUGGGGGUUUUAGUAAGGCCCAGAUGCAAUUAGUGGAAGACAACACAACAGCUGUCCGACAUCGAGAAAAAGAAAUAACACUAAUUGUCAAAUCUAUUCAGGAUCUAAAUGACAUUUUCCGUGACCUGUCACAGAUGGUGGUGGACCAGGGCACUAUUUUAGACCGCAUCGACUAUAACGUAGAGCAUGCUAGUGUUCAGGUGGAGAAAGGACUACAGCAGUUAAAGAAGGCCGAAAAAUACCAGAAGAAAAACCGCAAAAUGUUGAUCAUCAUCAUACUCACAUGUCUCAUUAUCAUCUUAAUUAUUGUGUUAAUUGGUGUUAAGAGCUAGUAUUAGGUGUCCUGUUAGUCUUAACUAUUUUGGUAUUUCCUGUUAUUUGUGUUGUGAAAUGAAGGUAAGCAAUAUACAGUUGAUGCAUGGAGGCAUGCAUUGAAUUUAAUAAUUAAAAAUCAAUCUCAAAACGUGUAUAUAUAAAAUUAUAAAAAAAAAAAAGGACUUAAAGUUGUGAUUUCUGAGCAUGUACAAGAUUAACUUUUGGUUUGAAAACAGAUCUGCAUCUCAGUAAUGUCAGGGGUAUUAUAUAUUAGGACUCUUGUAAUUAAAUCUGAACACAAUUCAUAAAAGGAAUUUUCCUUUUUCCUGCCAUAAUCAUUUAUUCUCUCUUUAUAUCUGAGGCCUCAUUUAAGCCAUUCACUUAUUCCCAGUUUAGUGUAAUCAACUUUCUUCUGUAUAGACAGACAUAUACUACAUCAUACAUAGGAUAACUAUUUGUAAGUUAAAAACUUGGUAGAAAAAAAUAACUGUGAGCUUCUUCCAUGGCAGGAGAGUAAUUUACUGAAGAACUUAAAACACUUGGACAGGUCAGUACAGUAUACAAACAAAAAUACAAUAACAGCUAUAAAAUGUAAACAAAGGUAAAUGUAAGAUGACCAAUUGUUCAUUCUAUGCAGGGACUCAUUGCAAGGAAGUAGUCAGAUGUAUUAAAUGUGAAGGGUAUACCCCAUUGCUGAUAUCUGAGAUAGGAAAACUAAUAUGGCACAUGUCUUUUUAUAAUGGUGUUCAGCUUUAAGAACAAUGAAAAGUAAUAAAAACAACCUGAAGUGAAUUAAAAACCUCUUCCUAUUAAACACAAGUUUCCUUUACAUCUAAUUUCUACUGAAUCUUGAGAUAAUGUAAAUCUUAAUCUCAUAGUUUCUCUAAGAAACUUUGAAGAAAUUAUUUGAUGUUUGAUUAUUGGAGUUUUAUGAAAGCAACUCUACUGGAAAUAUACAUGUAUUUUAAAAUAUUCGAAUACUAGAAGUUGAUUACAUAUUUUUCUUAAAUUUCCUGACAUAAUUUUGACCCAGGCACAGGGUUAAUCUCUGUGUUCUCUAUCACAGUUCACACAUACAUUUUAUGUACAUUAAUAACAUGUGUUAUAGAGAACAAGACAGAUACCACAUGUCCCCAUACUCCAGAUGUUUCAUUUCCUAAACAUAAGUUUCAUACCAGUAUUUCAUUUUAAUAACAUUAACAUGUCUGACAGUGAAGAAAAGGAAACUUUAUUCUAUACAUAGAAAAUGUGUAUUUGUAAAUAUCUAUGUUAUGAAUUGAGGAAUGGAUUAAGAGAUUUUCAUUCAAAUUGACAUCAGUUAGGAAUGAAAAUGAAGUUAAUCUUUGGAGAGAACAAACAAUAUAAAUCAGAGAAGAAGGAACUAGUCAGUUGAAGUUGCCAUCAUUCCAUUAGAGAUGAGAUUUAUUGUAGUAUUGUAACAUUCCAAUCUCUAAUACUUCUGGUUUAUUUAUAUAUGUGUGCAAUAAUCUCCUUUUGCAUUAAAAUUUAUCUUAUAUUAAGUUAACAUAUUUUUAUGCAAUACAAUCAAUGUAUAAACUUCAGUAAACAUGGCAAGCCACACAGGCCAAUUUUCAGGGUUUUUUUCUUCAGAAUUUUAUCAGAACUUAGUGAGUUCAUGACUUCUUAAAUAAUUGUUUAAAAAAAAACAACAGACAAAA